This 408-nucleotide long non-coding RNA is filed under the name Setaria viridis. Its description in RNAcentral is "long non-coding RNA (SVIR_LNC000833)". The record is from RNAcentral. Lineage: Eukaryota; Viridiplantae; Streptophyta; Magnoliopsida; Poales; Poaceae.
AUAAAGACAGGCUGUGCCACAGAAAAGCGGUAUGCACAAAGGCAAGGGGGACAAAGAGACACCUUGGUGAUGUAAUACACUCGCGGUGUUCCGGCAGUGGCAUGAAAAGCCUAGCGUUCGAUUCAUCCAGUUGCUUGUCUCCAUGCAGCACGACAAAUGAGAUUGGUGAAACAGUACCGUUGGAUCAAUAUUUGCAGAUACGAGCAGUAGUCGAUGUAGAUUAUGAACUCGGUUAAGAAUGCUAGAAAGCUACGACCACAAAAAUGGACGGAUUAUUUUUUUUAUCAUUUACUAGAUGGGAAGCCAUCAGAACUUGUAGAGCUUGUUACAUUAUUGUACGCUACACGUGCAUGGAGUACAAUUUUACAUUUUUGCUACAGUAUCCAUGUCGAUUGUAUCCCUCCGUCC